This 73-nucleotide transfer RNA is filed under the name Prevotella sp. RNAcentral's name for it is "tRNA-Thr". It matches the Rfam family "tRNA". Rfam says of the family: Transfer RNA (tRNA) molecules are approximately 80 nucleotides in length. Their secondary structure includes four short double-helical elements and three loops (D, anti-codon, and T loops). The record is from RNAcentral. Lineage: Bacteria; Pseudomonadati; Bacteroidota; Bacteroidia; Bacteroidales; Prevotellaceae.
GCCUGGGUAGCUCAGUUGGUAGAGCAGCUCAUUUGUAAUGAGCGGGUCGGGAGUUCGAGCCUCUCCGCAGGCG